GAUGAACGCUGGCGGCGUGCCUAAUACAUGCAAGUCGAGCGAACAGACGAGGAGCUUGCUCCUCUGAUGUUAGCGGCGGACGGGUGAGUAACACGUGGAUAACCUACCUAUAAGACUGGGAUAACUUCGGGAAACCGGAGCUAAUACCGGAUAACAUGUUGAACCGCAUGGUUCAACAGUGAAAGACGGUCUUGCUGUCACUUAUAGAUGGAUCCGCGCCGCAUUAGCUAGUUGGUAGGUAACGGCUUACCAAGGCAACGAUGCGUAGCCGACCUGAGAGGGUGAUCGGCCACACUGGAACUGAGACACGGUCCAGACUCCUACGGGAGGCAGCAGUAGGGAAUCUUCCGCAAUGGGCGAAAGCCUGACGGAGCAACGCCGCGUGAGUGAAGAAGGUCUUCGGAUCGUAAAACUCUGUUAUUAGGGAAGAACAAAUGUGUAAGUAACUAUGCACGUCUUGACGGUACCUAAUCAGAAAGCCACGGCUAACUACGUG
RNAcentral lists this ribosomal RNA (496 nucleotides) under uncultured bacterium. RNAcentral's name for it is "partial 16S ribosomal RNA". It matches the Rfam family "Bacterial small subunit ribosomal RNA", at positions 28 to 507 of the family's 1533-position model. The record is from RNAcentral.